Molecule: long non-coding RNA, 634 nt
Organism: Bactrocera dorsalis (oriental fruit fly)
Lineage: Eukaryota; Metazoa; Arthropoda; Insecta; Diptera; Tephritidae
Exons: 2
Source: RefSeq, a predicted model, not a curated record
CCCAUGCAUCCCGAAAAAUGCACUGUUUGGUGUGGUUUGUACGCUGGUGGAAUCAUUGGACCGUAUUUUUUCAAAGAUGCUGUUGGACGCAACGUUACGGUGAAUGGCGAUCGCUAUCGUUCGAUGCUAACAAACUUUUUGUUGCCAAAAAUGGAAGAACUGAACUUGGUUGACAUGUGGUUUCAACAAGAUGGCGCUACAUGCCACACAGCUCGCGAUUCUAUGGCCAUUUUGAGGGAAAACUUCGGACAACAAUUCAUCUCAAGAAAUGGACCCGUAAUUUGGCCACCAAGAUCAUGCGAUUUAACGCCUUUAGACUAUUUUUUGUGGGGCUACGUCAAGUCUAAAGUCUACAGAAAUAAGCCAGCAACUAUUCCAGCUUUGGAAGACAACAUUUCCGAAGAAAUUCGGGCUAUUCCGGCCGAAAUGCUCGAAAAAGUUGCCCAAAAUUGGACUUUCCGAAUGGACCACCUAAGACGCAGCCGCGGUCAACAUUUAAAUGAAAUUAUCUUCAAAAAGUAAAUGUCAUGAACCAAUCUAACGUUUCAAAUAAAGAACCGAUGAGAUUUUGCAAAUUUUAUGCGUUUUUUUUUAAAAAAGUUAUCAAGCUCUUAAAAAAUCACCCUUUAUAAGU